This 429-nucleotide ribosomal RNA is filed under the name uncultured bacterium. RNAcentral's name for it is "bacterial SSU rRNA". It matches the Rfam family "Bacterial small subunit ribosomal RNA", at positions 355 to 776 of the family's 1533-position model. The record is from RNAcentral.
UGGGGAAUUUUGGACAAUGGGGGCAACCCUGAUCCAGCAACGCCGCGUGAAUGAAGAAGGCCUUAGGGUUGUAAAGUUCUUUUGUCUGGGAGCAAAAUGCGUGGGCUAAUACCCUAUGUAGAUGAGAGUACCAGAAGAAUAAGCACCGGCUAACUACGUGCCAGCAGCCGCGGUAAUACGUAGGGUGCGAGCGUUAAUCGGAAUUACUGGGCGUAAAGGGUGCGCAGGCGGAUAUAUAAGUUAGAUGUGAAAUCCCCGAGCUUAACUUGGGAAUGGCAUUUAAGACUGUAUGUCUAGAGUUUGUCAGAGGGGGGUAGAAUUCCAAGUGUAGCAGUGAAAUGCGUAGAGAUUUGGAGGAAUACCGGUGGCGAAGGCGGCCCCCUGGGAUAGAACUGACGCUCAGGCACGAAAGCGUGGGUAGCAAACAGG